UACAGAGGUCCCGAGCGUUGUUCGGAUUCACUGGGCGUAAAGGGUGCGUAGGUGGUGAGGAAAGUCGGAUGUGAAAUCUCCGAGCUCAACUCGGAAAUGGCAUUGGAAACUACCUUGCUCGAGGGUUGGAGGGGGGACUGGAAUACUUGGUGUAGCAGUGAAAUGCGUAGAUAUCAGGAGGAACACCGGUGGCGAAGGCGGUGGUCUGGGCCGUAACUGAUGCUGAGGAGCGAAAGCGUGGGUAGCAAACAGG
RNAcentral lists this ribosomal RNA (253 nucleotides) under uncultured bacterium. Its description in RNAcentral is "partial 16S ribosomal RNA". It matches the Rfam family "Bacterial small subunit ribosomal RNA", at positions 524 to 776 of the family's 1533-position model. The record is from RNAcentral.